This 330-nucleotide ribosomal RNA is filed under the name uncultured bacterium. RNAcentral's name for it is "bacterial SSU rRNA". It matches the Rfam family "Bacterial small subunit ribosomal RNA", at positions 28 to 360 of the family's 1533-position model. The record is from RNAcentral.
AUUGAACGCUGGCGGCAUGCUUUACACAUGCAAGUCGAGCGGCAGCGCGGGGGCAACCCUGGCGGCGAGCGGCGAACGGGAGGGUAAUACAUCGGAACGUACCCAGGAGUGGGGGAUAGCCCGGCGAAAGCCGGAUUAAUACCGCAUACGAUCUUAGGAUGAAAGUGGGGGACCGCACGGCCUCACGCUUUUGGAGCGGCCGAUGUCCGAUUAGCUAGUUGGUGGGGUAAAGGCCUACCAAGGCGACGAUCGGUAGCUGGUCUGAGAGGAUGAUCAGCCACACUGGGACUGAGACACGGCCCAGACUCCUACGGGAGGCAGCAGUGGGGG